UUGAUUUUCCUUUCCAAAGCCUCUAUCGUUGACAAGGGGACCUCAUGCACAAGCAGUGGCCACAGGAGUCUCGUUCAGUUCUGUACCACUUCCCCAGGCUCUUUACCGGCUUCUUGAUAACAGAUGGUAUGGUCUCUUUGCCUUUCUUAAAUCUCAAGCGAUCCUGCUUCAGAACUAGUCUCCUGGAUUGAGCUGGUUUAAACUCCAUUCUGACUGCUUUGUAGGUGGCGCUGUUUGGUAGUCCGCCAACCAACAAAGAAGACACUUUGCCUGCCUUUAAUGUUGAUGGUGUAGAAGAGUGACACUGGGACGGUCUAACUGAGACACAGGAGCUGAAGGAGACAGUGAAGCCUGGAGAGGACGCCAUUCUCGUGUGUCGGGAUGGCAGAGUUGCAGCAUCUGAAAUGAUCGAGUGGAGCAGAUCUGACAUGAAGACAGAUGAUGAUAAUGUCUUCUUCUACAGAGACGGCCGCUUAUAUGAAAACAACCUCUAUCCAUCUUUUUAUGGUCGAGUGAAGCUGAGAGAUCCAGAGAUGAAGGACGGAGACGCUUCUGUGAUUCUGAAGAACGUCAACAUCAACGACACUGGAACAUAUGAGUGUUGGAUUGGAGUGAAAAUGAAAAACAAGUCAGGACGGAGAAAGAGAGACUCACGUGAACUCAUCAACACCAUCAAGCUGACAGUGACAGAGCCAGCGUCUCUUUGUCUCUCAGGUCUCAUAGUUGGACAUGUUGGACUGUCAGUUAUUGCCGUGCUUCUUCUUGUGGUUGCUGUUGGUGGUUUUAUGGUCUUUAAAAAACACGCAGGACGCACAGACAAGAGUGAAACAACUCACACAGAAAUAUUCCUAAACCCAUCAGCGCCAUCAGGCUGACAGUGACAGAUUCAGGUCACACAGCUGGACACAAGGAGGGAGAUGUUUCACAGAUAGGUCAUGUGCUUGUUAUUGUUGGUGUUGGUUUUAUUAUCCUUAGAAAAC
Molecule: long non-coding RNA, 980 nt
Organism: Micropterus dolomieu (smallmouth bass)
Lineage: Eukaryota; Metazoa; Chordata; Actinopteri; Centrarchiformes; Centrarchidae
Exons: 5
Source: RefSeq, a predicted model, not a curated record